GACGUCUUCGUGGGCCUCCGUCCGUACCAUCUAUUCUCGCCGUUCGCUGUUAGCAACCGCCUCCCCUUCCUUCCCAAUAAAGUUUCGUCUCCCCUUCCGUUUUUAUAACUCCGUAUGUUCGAUCUGAAACGGCCCGCGCGUCGUAAUUAGUGAUGGCGAUGAAGCUCCACCAUCUUCCUCACGGAUUUCUAAGGCACCGUCUACGAUUUGGUUCAUGCCAGCCGGAUCGACGGCAGCGGCAUGCCACGGUGGCGCAUCGACCUCCAGUCGUUCGACAGGUCAACAUGCAGACUGAGAUAUGAUCCAUCGUGCAAGAUUUGAUUCGUUGACGAGGAGCAGUUUAUCUUACCAGGCGAAAUCAUACGUACAAGGAGUUGUAUCUGGAGAAGGGGAAGUAGAAGGAAGGUAUUGAAGCAGCUCGUGGGACAGGCAAUCCAACGAAUAUGAGCAAUGAGAAAUCUCGUUUAGCAACGGCAACAAGAUCUCCUGGCUCACCAUGGCAUCGGCAUCGUUCCCACCACGACAGCCAUAUCUGGUAUCAUAGCUGUCUCCGUAAUCGAGCCUUGCCAAAAGUUCGUCCAGAUUGAUCAUGGACCGAUGGUGAUGGUUGCAGCCUAUGAGGGAAUCAAGAGUGGUGCUGAUCUUCUGGAGAAAGUUUUCCACGUCAUUUCUGUUGUCGGUUAUACCAUCAUCGCCGGGUUCGUCUGCGAAGGUGAUGCAGUCGAGUAAUUUGUGCAUUUGAUAUUUGGCCUUCUAUUCUUCUCUUUGUCAUGCAAAUCUAAAAAUUACUUUAAAUACAGUAUCAAUUUGUAUGCAAUAGUAUUAAACUACUGACCAUAAAUAGGCAAAACUAUUGAUAUAACAUGAGUAAUGGAAAAAUAGUUGAUUGCAGUUGGAGUUCUGUUCGGUGCUCACCACUUAUACAGUAAGAGAAAAGAUUGCUUGGAGAAUAUGGGUAUUAAUGUUGGAUGUUAGAACUGUGAGUUACUGGAACAAUUACUUUCUGAAGUUAACAUAUAAUAUAACUUACGCACA
This is a long non-coding RNA of Lolium perenne, 1035 nucleotides long. RefSeq lists it as uncharacterized. Lineage: Eukaryota; Viridiplantae; Streptophyta; Magnoliopsida; Poales; Poaceae. The record is from RefSeq and is a predicted model, not a curated record.